Molecule: non-coding RNA, 513 nt
Organism: Lepisosteus oculatus (spotted gar)
Lineage: Eukaryota; Metazoa; Chordata; Actinopteri; Semionotiformes; Lepisosteidae
Source: RefSeq, a predicted model, not a curated record
UACCUGCUGGACCAAGUGUGAUUCAAAAGCUGCUUUCUUCAGAGUGUAACCAAGACAGACAGAAAGUUGACUUCAUCUUCAGAAAGAGACCAUGUCUGACCAGGUUAAGACUUCAGGAGCAGCAGACAAUAUGUGUAUGGUGCUGUUUGCCAUGGAAAGAUCUGGGCAUAUCAAGAUUGGACUGCCCCCAAAUAAUUACAAUGACAACUUCAGUGAGUAUUCGAAGUAUGUGGGAAAUCUGCAAGGCAUCUCUCACGUUGCCUUCAGCCCUCAAGGAACAAUGUUUGCAGUCUGUGAUGCACCGCUGUAUUCUGGGUCUCCUCCAGCGAAUCCAGAUGAGAACUGGCUGAAGCAGAAAGCUCGGUGUGUAGGAAGGUCUGGGUGGGAUCAAGUUCAUUCCUUCUUCUUCCAUCCAAACGGCGCACUCUAUGUUGUCAUGAAGAGUGGUGAACUGUACAGGGGUCCCCCUCCUGAGAAUGAGUACGUGUCCUGGAUGUAGAGGGUUGCUAUGAA